RNAcentral lists this transfer RNA (82 nucleotides) under human gut metagenome. It matches the Rfam family "tRNA". From Rfam's summary of the family: Transfer RNA (tRNA) molecules are approximately 80 nucleotides in length. Their secondary structure includes four short double-helical elements and three loops (D, anti-codon, and T loops). The record is from RNAcentral.
CGGAUGUGGUGGAAUGGUAGACACAACAGACUUAAAAUCUGUUGAGGCGUGUCCUCGUGCGGGUUCGAGUCCCGCCUUCCGC